This 71-nucleotide transfer RNA is filed under the name Loxodonta africana (African savanna elephant). It matches the Rfam family "tRNA". From Rfam's summary of the family: Transfer RNA (tRNA) molecules are approximately 80 nucleotides in length. The record is from Rfam by way of RNAcentral. Lineage: Eukaryota; Metazoa; Chordata; Mammalia; Proboscidea; Elephantidae.
GCAUUCGUAGGUCAGUGGAAGAAUUCUCAUCUUCCAUGUGGGAGACGUGGGUUUGAUUCCCAGCCGAUGCA